This 253-nucleotide ribosomal RNA is filed under the name uncultured bacterium. Its description in RNAcentral is "partial 16S ribosomal RNA". It matches the Rfam family "Bacterial small subunit ribosomal RNA", at positions 524 to 776 of the family's 1533-position model. The record is from RNAcentral.
GACGGAGGAUGCAAGCGUUAUCCGGAAUGAUUGGGCGUAAAGCGUCCGCAGGUGGCCGUUCAAGUCUGCUGUCAAAGACCGGGGCUUAACUUCGGAAAGGCAGUGGAAACUGAACAGCUAGAGUAUGGUAGGGGCAGAGGGAAUUCCUGGUGUAGCGGUGAAAUGCGUAGAUAUCAGGAAGAACAUCGGUGGCGAAGGCGCUCUGCUGGACCAUAACUGACACUCAGGGACGAAAGCUAGGUGAGCGAAUGGG